GAGAAGUUUCUUUCUGCAUAGUUCUAAUAAGGGAUUAAUCAAAUAUGAUAAAAGAUAAUGUUUUGUUAAAAAAUUUAUGGGUGUUGAAGGAGGCAGCCUGCCUGGGUUCCACAACUGGCUUUGUGUGAUUUUGGACGAGUCAUUCAAUCUUUUGGGCCUUGGUUUCGUCAUCUCUGAGUGAUAAUGUUUUGAGGAUAAAAUAAAAUAACCUAUGAAGUAUUUAGCAUGGGGGACUUCUUCACAUUAAGAGCUAAAUAAAUGUUAUCAUGAUAUGUAUAUUAGUUGACUGCUUUCAUCUAAAAGUAACAGAAAUUCUGGUUCAAACUGGCUCAAACACUAAGGAAGUUUUUUUUCUCAUGUAACAGGAAGAUCAAUGGUAGGGCAUUGGUUACCUCCCUUAAGGGUAACUGUGAGUCCACAGUUCCAUGAUGUAAUAGAGAUCCAGGUUCUUUCCAUCUGUGAUCUCCAAUUCUUAGUGUCAGCUUCAUGCAUAGGUAGUAACAUGGUCAUAGCAGUUUCUACAUAUGACAAAACCCAGAAGAACAAGGGAUGCUAUUUGUGGACUGAAUGUUUGUGUCUCCCCAGAAUUCAUGUUGAAACCCUAUUCCCCAGUGUGAUAGCAUUAGGAGUUGGGCCUUUGAGAGGAUAAAAUGAGAAGUCAGCAGUCUGGAACCCGGAAGAGAAACCUCAUCAGAAACUGACCAUGCUGGCACCCUAAAACUGGGACUUCCAGCCUCCAGAAUUAUGACAUGAGAUAUCAAGGAGGAAAGAGAAAGGAGC
Long non-coding RNA from Homo sapiens (human), 780 nucleotides. RefSeq lists it as uncharacterized. The record is from RefSeq and is a predicted model, not a curated record. NCBI's taxonomy places the organism in Eukaryota, Metazoa, Chordata, Mammalia, Primates, Hominidae. The transcript has 3 exons.